UCUGUUCACAUUGUGACUUAGGUGAAACUUAAGUUUUAGGUUUUUAAAUUGAGUGUCAUUUGAUCAAUUGGAAAGCUAAGAUAGAGCACUACAAACAUCUAAGAGGAACCAAAGCCCAGUUCAGCCUCGAAGACAAUCAAAAUUAGCCCUGAAGCCAGAACAUAUUUUUAGUAUAGACCCGUGAGGCCAUGUUUGGUUUUUAAUUCAUAUCUGGAGCUCUAGAUGUCCAA
Molecule: unclassified non-coding RNA, 230 nt
Filed under: Hevea brasiliensis (rubber tree)
Lineage: Eukaryota; Viridiplantae; Streptophyta; Magnoliopsida; Malpighiales; Euphorbiaceae
Source: RNAcentral